This 253-nucleotide ribosomal RNA is filed under the name uncultured bacterium. RNAcentral's name for it is "partial 16S ribosomal RNA". It matches the Rfam family "Bacterial small subunit ribosomal RNA", at positions 524 to 776 of the family's 1533-position model. The record is from RNAcentral.
UACGUAGGGGGCAAGCGUUGUCCGGAUUUACUGGGUUUAAAGGGUGCGUAGGUGGAUAAGAAAGUCAGUGGUGAAAUCUUCGGGCUUAACCCGGAAACUGCCAUUGAUACUAUUUAUCUUGAAUACUCUGGAGGUAAGCGGAAUAUGUCAUGUAGCGGUGAAAUGCUUAGAUAUGACAUAGAACACCUAUGGCGAAGGCAGCUCUCUGGGACGGUACUGACGCUGAGACGCGAAAGCGUGGGGAGCGAACAGG